RNAcentral lists this ribosomal RNA (449 nucleotides) under uncultured bacterium. RNAcentral describes it as "partial 16S ribosomal RNA". It matches the Rfam family "Bacterial small subunit ribosomal RNA", at positions 329 to 794 of the family's 1533-position model. The record is from RNAcentral.
AUCCAGACUCCUACGGGAGGCAGCAGUGGGGAAUAUUGCACAAUGGGGGAAACCCUGAUGCAGCGACGCCGCGUGAGCGAUGAAGUAUUUCGGUAUGUAAAGCUCUAUCAGCAGGGAAGAAAAUGACGGUACCUGACUAAGAAGCCCCGGCUAACUACGUGCCAGCAGCCGCGGUAAUACGUAGGGGGCGAGCGUUAUCCGGAUUUACUGGGUGUAAAGGGAGCGUAGACGGCCAUGCAAGCCUGAUGUGAAAGGUGUGGGCACAACCCGCACACUGCAUUGGGAACUGUAUGGCUAGAGUGUCGGAGGGGCAGGCGGAAUUCCUGGUGUAGCGGUGAAAUGCGUAGAUAUCAGGAGGAACACCGGUGGCGAAGGCGGCUUACUGGACGGUAACUGACGUUGAGGCUCGAAAGCGUGGGGAGCAAACAGGAUUAGAUACCCCCGUAAAA